CAUGCAUGGACAUGUGACUUGCUCAUGUGACUCCAAAACUCCAUCUUGGAGCUGGACUUUGCAUAGAAGAGAGGAAGAGGUCUCCACUCACAAGAGAAAGUCUAUUUAAAUCCCUGGGAG
Chelonoidis abingdonii (Abingdon island giant tortoise) is the source of this 120-nucleotide non-coding RNA. Lineage: Eukaryota; Metazoa; Chordata; Testudines; Testudinidae. The record is from RefSeq and is a predicted model, not a curated record.